CCUACGGGAGGCUGCAGUGGGGAAUCUUGCGCAAUGGGCGAAAGCCUGACGCAGCAACGCCGCGUGGGGGAUGAAGGCUCUCGGGUUGUAAACCCCUUUCAGUAGGGACGAAAAUGACGGUACCUACAGAAGAAGCCCCGGCCAACUACGUGCCAGCAGCCGCGGUAACACGUAGGGGGCAAGCGUUGUCCGGAUUUAUUGGGCGUAAAGAGCUCGUAGGCGGUUCGGUAAGUUGGGUGUGAAACCUCCAGGCUCAACCUGGAGACGCCACCCGAUACUGCUGUGACUAGAGUCCGGUAGGGGAGCGUGGAAUUCCUGGUGUAGCGGUGAAAUGCGCAGAUAUCAGGAGGAACACCAGCGGCGAAGGCGGCGCUCUGGGCCGGAACUGACGCUGAGGAGCGAAAGCGUGGGUAGCAAACAGGAUUAGAUACCCUUGUAGUC
Molecule: ribosomal RNA, 441 nt
Filed under: uncultured Acidimicrobiales bacterium
Lineage: Bacteria; Bacillati; Actinomycetota; Acidimicrobiia; Acidimicrobiales
Description: bacterial SSU rRNA
Rfam family: Bacterial small subunit ribosomal RNA
Source: RNAcentral